UGUUCUAUGGCUUAGUUAAUUAAAGCGCCGGUCUAGCGAAUACGGAGUCGUGGGUUCAAAUCCCACCAGAAUGC
This is a non-coding RNA of Aedes albopictus (Asian tiger mosquito), 74 nucleotides long. Lineage: Eukaryota; Metazoa; Arthropoda; Insecta; Diptera; Culicidae. The record is from Rfam.